Molecule: long non-coding RNA, 1472 nt
Filed under: Daphnia pulex (common water flea)
Lineage: Eukaryota; Metazoa; Arthropoda; Branchiopoda; Diplostraca; Daphniidae
Description: uncharacterized LOC124190572, transcript variant X1
Source: RNAcentral
AGUAUUAUAUUGCUGCCAAGUUGCAAUCUGAGUUGUAUGAUUCUAGUGAGCAUUUGGUAUAACGCGGCCACGGGUGUCUCGUUAUACCUUCUAAGUUCUAACGUGAUUGUAACAAAGCAGCCAAAUGAAGUAAAUGUUUGAAACAGCCCAUUUUUAGAUCACAUUGGUGCUAAAAGUCAAAAUCAUCCUACUACUAGGCUCCAAUGAAACAAAUCUAAGCUUUUCAAGUGCAGUGUGACUGCCAAAGUUACCUCUGCCCAUGGAGACGCCAGCAAUGUAGAACAAAUACUUAAAGCUACACCAACACUCAUCUAUAUGUGGACUGCCAUCAGCAGGAUGUUUGCCUGAAACAAGAAGAAUUCCAAUCUCCAGUCUACAUGGUGAUUGGCGUGGAUUACAGUUCCACUAUCGGCAACAACAACAAAAUCUGUUGAAGAAAAGACACUGAGAAGAACGUCAAUGCUGGUGUGGAAUCGUCGAUACAGGCAACCCAGUUUUGCUUACGUGUUUAAGAUUCAACGGGAAAAAAUCGGGAUAUUCGUUCAACAUCUUCUACAGACAUCCCUUACAAUGUGAACAACAAUAUUAUUGAACUGUAAUCUUUGAGUUAUGACCAUCUUGGAAGCGAAUGCUGGUUCAUUGCAAAACACUUCUUUGGCAGUUUGUGAUUUGUGAUGGUGGUUUCUUGGGGGAAAACUAUGUAGAUAUAAAUCACAGACUUGGUCAUAUGCUAUUUGGAUUUUAAAUGGAAAAAAAUCACAAACAGCCCUUCAGCUUAUCUUGCUAAGUGCUUACGCAGUUAAGCUGAAAAUCCAUCCGUUCCGUCCAGCCCAGUCGUCCGUGGAUGCCGUCCGUGGCUGUCACUAGGUUGCUGGUGGCUAAAAUUAAGUCCGUCUCUUCUUUAGAGCAGACGAUAUUUCGCCAUUUCUUUUAGAAGACGAUGUUUGAUUGACAGUUCGAUGUGGUUUAUUACGGGAUACUCUUUUUCCUGAAAUUUGUCGUCAUACUAAUGGUAACAUAACUACCCUACAAUCUAUACUUGGCAAUUCCAUCUGAUCAUGGCCUGAAACUGGUGUUCAUUUACCCAAAAUGUCGUCUUUUCUGCAUGUACCGGCUCUACGUUUCGUCUCAUGCAGAAAUACUUCAGAACAGUAAUUUCUGAGCUUCUUCAUUCAGUCCAACGUGGACAUGGAUUUGUUGUUGCCAGCUGGCGAAAGGUGUUCCUCUUGCAAGCUUGCAGUUGUAGCUUUCUCGAUAGGUUGAUACAGAAAGAAUAUUUCUUACAGCAGUGGAGAGUAAAAUGUUCCAAUUUGUAUUUAAUCUUAAAUGAGUCGUCUAGUUUCAUUAAAAGUUUAUUUCAACAAUAGCUAUCAGAUUUAUAAUGUUUUCAGAAUAUUUGGCUUAACUAUUGAAAACAGCAUAGUGACAUGAAUUUUUCAUUUCAGAAUUCAAGACAGCAUUUCCAUUGAUGU